This 220-nucleotide long non-coding RNA is filed under the name Physcomitrium patens. RNAcentral describes it as "long non-coding RNA (PPAT_LNC003710)". Lineage: Eukaryota; Viridiplantae; Streptophyta; Bryopsida; Funariales; Funariaceae. The record is from RNAcentral.
AAAAUUUUGUAUACACUUAAUACAUCUAAUAAUCCAAAUAGUUUCAAAUUUUCAAUCAUAGAUGUCACACCAAUUGCAUGAACUAGUCAAUAUUACUAGCCCUAAUUAUAUUAUAUAAAAUCCAAAUCACUGAUACAGACCUUAACUUUGAACAAUAGUUUCUAAUUCCUCCAAAAUUCUCUCAAAUCUAUUCUUAUGUCUCUGGAAAGAAAUUUAAGCU